GCCUUUAUAGUCAAUCUUUAACCAUUUUUCAUAAAUCUAAGUAAUCUUUUACAAAAUCUCGACUGAAACUACUAGGCCACAAUCAUCUUUGGGGUAUCUAGUUUGAAAAAUGUGUCCGAUGACCUGGCCAUUCAACCAAGAUGGCCGCCACGGCUAAAAAUAGAACAUAGGGGUAAAAUGCAGUUUUUGGCUUAUAACUAUGAAACCAACGCAUCUAGAGCAAAUCUGACUGAAGUUAUAUUGUUAAUCAAGUCAAUAUCUAUCUGCCCUGAAUUUUUCAGAUGAAUUGGACAACUGGUUGUUGGGUUGCUGCCCUCCAAUUGGUAAUUUUUAAAGAAAUUUUGCCGUUUUUGGUUAUCUUGAAUACUAUUAUAGAUAGCGAUAAACUGUAAACAACAAUAAUGUUCAGCAAAGUAAGAUCUACAAAUAAGUCAACAUGACCUAAAUGGUCAAUUGACCCCUUAAGGAGUUAUUGCCCUUUAUAGUCAAUUUUUAACAAUUUUCAUUAAUUUGGUAAAUUUAUGUAAAUUUUUACCAAAUAUAGUUCUCUGUUACUAAAUGGGCAAAGUUCAUAAUAGAUAUAAUUGUUAAGAAGCAAAUCGUUCAGUAAAGUAAGAACUUCAAACACAUCACCAUCACCAAAAUACAAUUUUGUCAUGAAUCCAUUUGUGUCCUUUGUUUAAUAUGCACAUAGACCAAGGUGAGCGACACAGGCUCUUUAGAGCCUCUAGUUUCUUCUUUAUGUUGUUAUU
This 752-nucleotide long non-coding RNA is filed under the name Mytilus galloprovincialis (Mediterranean mussel). Lineage: Eukaryota; Metazoa; Mollusca; Bivalvia; Mytilida; Mytilidae. The record is from RNAcentral.